GGCACCUUCGGUGUCCGAGUUGUAAUUUGAAGAAGGUAACUUUGGAGUUGGCUCUUGUCUAUGUUCCUUGGAACAGGACGUCACAGAGGGUGAGAAUCCCGUGCGAUGAGAUGUCCAACUCUAUGUAAAGUGCUUUCGAAGAGUCGAGUUGUUUGGGAAUGCAGCUCUAAGUGGGUGGUAAAUUCCAUCUAAAGCUAAAUAUUGGCGAGAGACCGAUAGCGAACAAGUACAGUGAUGGAAAGAUGAAAAGAACUUUGAAAAGAGAGUGAAAAAGUACGUGAAAUUGUUGAAAGGGAAGGGUUUGAGAUCAGACUUGGUAUUUUGUAUGUCUUGCUUUCGGGUGGGGCCUCUGCAGUUUACUGGGCCAGCAUCGGUUUGGACGGUAGGAUAAUGACAUUGGAAUGUGGCACUACUUCGGUGGUGUGUUAUAGACUUUGUUGAUACUGCCUGUCUAGACCGAGGACUGCGUCUUUGACUAGGAUGCUGGCAUAAUGAUCCUAAACCGCC
This 507-nucleotide ribosomal RNA is filed under the name Scheffersomyces shehatae. RNAcentral describes it as "eukaryotic LSU rRNA". It matches the Rfam family "Eukaryotic large subunit ribosomal RNA", at positions 124 to 649 of the family's 3401-position model. Lineage: Eukaryota; Fungi; Ascomycota; Pichiomycetes; Serinales; Debaryomycetaceae. The record is from RNAcentral.